UUGCGGGCCUUGCUGGACCUCUGCGCAGGGACUGAGGGCGGAGGGCGUCCGCGGGCCCCCGGAGCUGAGCGGCCCCCGCGACCCUAUGUCCGAGCCGUCCUGCUCGCACGCACGUCCUCGUCCUGGUGUGGGCCUCUCGUUAUUAGUGACAGCGCCAGGUGCAAGCAUCGGAGCGCCCAGGACCCUGCUUCAGACGUUCUGAGCUUUGAUGAAACAGGGCAUGGGCAGCCACGGCCCCAGGGAUGCUCAGAGAGAUGUUAGGAGGCUCCAAUGAGGUGACAGAACCGGCAGAUAAAUUAGAGCCCUCCGUGAGGGUGAUGCUUUGGCACCUCAUGGGGCUGGCAGUCAGGUUGAGCAGAGCUACCACCUCAUUUGUCACUCGGCGAACGCUCCUGGGCACAGCUCUGAGCCUGUGACCUCGCCAGGCCCUGGGAAUGCAGAAGACACAGGCCUCCCUUGCGGGGCUCACAUGCCACUCGGGAACAGGUGGAGCUGUCCACACGAGGGCAGGCCCAGGGUGCACGGGGAAUGGCAUAAAGGAGAUACAUAAGAUGUUGGAGCAGCAGCAGCCGGCUUGUGACAACGAGGCACAACUGGGGUCUACACAUUGA
RNAcentral lists this long non-coding RNA (611 nucleotides) under Sus scrofa (pig). RNAcentral's name for it is "lncRNA (ENSSSCG00005011488.1)". Lineage: Eukaryota; Metazoa; Chordata; Mammalia; Artiodactyla; Suidae. The record is from RNAcentral.